GAACGCUGGCGGCGUGCUUAACACAUGCAAGUCGAGCGAAGCACCUUGACGGAUUUCUUCGGAUUGAAGCCUUGGUGACUGAGCGGCGGACGGGUGAGUAACGCGUGGGUAACCUGCCUCAUACAGGGGGAUAACAGUUGGAAACGGCUGCUAAUACCGCAUAAGCGCACAGUACCGCAUGGUACGGUGUGAAAAACUCCGGUGGUAUGAGAUGGACCCGCGUCUGAUUAGGUAGUUGGUGGGGUAACGGCCUACCAAGCCGACGAUCAGUAGCCGACCUGAGAGGGUGACCGGCCACAUUGGGACUGAGACACGGCCCAAACUCCUACGGGAGGCAGCAGUGGGGAAUAUUGCACAAUGGGGGAAACCCUGAUGCAGCGACGCCGCGUGAGCGAUGAAGUAUUUCGGUAUGUAAAGCUCUAUCAGCAGGGAAGAAAAUGACGGUACCUGACUAAGAAGCCCCGGCUAACUACGUGCCAGCAGCCGCGGUAAUACGUAGGGGGCAAGCGUUAUCCGGAUUUACUGGGUGUAAAGGGAGCGUAGACAGCAUGGCAAGCCAGAUGUGAAAG
This 569-nucleotide ribosomal RNA is filed under the name uncultured Lachnospiraceae bacterium. RNAcentral describes it as "bacterial SSU rRNA". It matches the Rfam family "Bacterial small subunit ribosomal RNA", at positions 31 to 600 of the family's 1533-position model. The record is from RNAcentral. Lineage: Bacteria; Bacillati; Bacillota; Clostridia; Lachnospirales; Lachnospiraceae.